Molecule: ribosomal RNA, 406 nt
Filed under: uncultured bacterium
Lineage: Bacteria
Description: partial 16S ribosomal RNA
Rfam family: Bacterial small subunit ribosomal RNA
Source: RNAcentral
AUUGAACGCUGGCGGCAGGCUUAACACAUGCAAGUCGAGCGAGCGGCGGACGGGUGAGUAAUGUCUGGGAAACUGCCUGAUGGAGGGGGAUAACUACUGGAAACGGUAGCUAAUAACGCAUACCAUCAGAUGUGCCAAGCUGGGGUGGGAUAGGAGGUGGGGUAAUGGCUCACCAAGGCGCAGAUCCCUAGCUGGUCUGAGAGGAUGACCAGCCACACUGGACCUGAGACACGGUCCAGACUCCUACGGGAGGCAGCAGUGGGGAAUAUUGCACAAUGGUCGCAAGCCUGAUGCAGCCAUGCCGCGUGUGUGAAGAAGGCCUUCGGGUUGUAAAGCACUUUCAGCGAGGAGGCGUUACUCGCAGAAGAAGCACCGGCUAACUCCGUGCCAGCAGCCGCGGUAAUUC